This 417-nucleotide long non-coding RNA is filed under the name Bos taurus (domestic cattle). RNAcentral's name for it is "long non-coding RNA NONBTAT006820". Lineage: Eukaryota; Metazoa; Chordata; Mammalia; Artiodactyla; Bovidae. The record is from RNAcentral.
CAGUUUUAGCAUGCUUUCUUGAAUUCAAGACUUCCCUCUGUCAAGGUAUCAACAGACCAGACUAUAACUGUAUAGGACAUAGGUGGAGAAGAUUAAUUCUAUCAGUUGGUGGGUUUGAAUGACAUCACGUUUUAAAGUAAUUUAUUCUGAGACCAUUUCUGAGGAAAUUAAGACUCUCCCUUUUUUAAACAGCCCUAGUGAAAAAGACCAGUGUAUAUUUAUGGCAUCUAUUUUUGAGUCUCUCUAUUGCAAAGCACAUCCUGCAUGGGAAACCUCUAGUCAAAUAGGCAAUGAUAAGGACUUAAAUAGAACAUAAGUAUAUAUUUCACUUUGCCUUCACACUUUGGAAGUCCAGCUUCUGUGCAGCCACACAGGAUCCAAUAUCAGUUCCAUUUCCAUUCCUAUAGUCAGGCUGGG